RNAcentral lists this ribosomal RNA (460 nucleotides) under uncultured bacterium. Its description in RNAcentral is "partial 16S ribosomal RNA". It matches the Rfam family "Bacterial small subunit ribosomal RNA", at positions 338 to 795 of the family's 1533-position model. The record is from RNAcentral.
CCUACGGGUGGCAGCAGUGAGGAAUAUUGGUCAAUGGACGAGAGUCUGAACCAGCCAAGUAGCGUGAAGGAUGACUGCCCUAUGGGUUGUAAACUUCUUUUAUAAAGGAAUAAAACGAGGCACGUGUGCCUUUUUGCAUGUACUUUAUGAAUAAGGAUCGGCUAACUCCGUGCCAGCAGCCGCGGUAAUACGGAGGAUCCGAGCGUUAUCCGGAUUUAUUGGGUUUAAAGGGAGCGUAGAUGGGUUGUUAAGUCAGUGGUGAAAGUUUGCGGCUCAACCGUAAAAUUGCAAUUGAUACUGGCAGUCGUGAGUACAGUUGAGGUAGGCGGAAUUCGUGGUGUAGCGGUGAAAUGCUUAGAUAUCACGAAGAACCCCGAUUGCGAAGGCAGCUUACUAAACUGUGACUGACAUUGAUGCUCGAAAGUGUAGGUAUCAAACAGGAUUAGAUACCCCAGUAGUC